GGAAUGUGUGGGCCUGGUGGCCCGACCGGUCUUCAAAACCGGUUUGCGGGCGCGAUGGCGCCCGUGGCGGUUCGAUUCCCCCACAUUCCGC
This 91-nucleotide transfer RNA is filed under the name Actinomycetota bacterium. Its description in RNAcentral is "tRNA-Sec". It matches the Rfam family "Selenocysteine transfer RNA". Lineage: Bacteria; Bacillati; Actinomycetota. The record is from RNAcentral.